Rattus rattus (black rat) is the source of this 104-nucleotide small nuclear RNA. NCBI's taxonomy places the organism in Eukaryota, Metazoa, Chordata, Mammalia, Rodentia, Muridae. The record is from RefSeq and is a predicted model, not a curated record.
GUGCUCGCUUCGGCAGCACAUAUACUAAAAUUGGAAUGAUACAGGGAUUAGCAUGGCCCCUUCACAAGGACAACAUGCAAAUUCGUGAAGCAUUCCAAAAUGCC